Non-coding RNA from Caenorhabditis elegans, 74 nucleotides. Lineage: Eukaryota; Metazoa; Nematoda; Chromadorea; Rhabditida; Rhabditidae. The record is from Ensembl.
UAGGUCCUGGCCGGGAUCGAACCGGCGGCCUACUGCGUGUAAAGCAGACGUGAUAACCACUACACCACAGGACC